UACGUAGGGUGCAAGCGUUAAUCGGAAUUACUGGGCGUAAAGCGUGCGCAGGCGGUUUUGUAAGUCUGAUGUGAAAUCCCCGGGCUCAACCUGGGAAUUGCAUUGGAGACUGCAAGGCUAGAAUCUGGCAGAGGGGGGUAGAAUUCCACGUGUAGCAGUGAAAUGCGUAGAGAUGUGGAGGAACACCGAUGGCGAAGGCAGCCCCCUGGGUCAAGAUUGACGCUCAUGCACGAAAGUGUGGGGAGCAAACAGG
Molecule: ribosomal RNA, 253 nt
Filed under: uncultured bacterium
Lineage: Bacteria
Description: partial 16S ribosomal RNA
Rfam family: Bacterial small subunit ribosomal RNA
Source: RNAcentral